UGACAUUCAUACCUAAACAUUGGGUUCAAGCAAUGAAGUAAUUGCACUUAGCAUAUGCAGCAUUAUAGAUAUAGCAGCUUCUCUAAAUUUUCAAGUCAAAGUAGUUUCACCUGUGAGAUAAUGAUGUUGAAAAGUUAACAAGACAUGUUAACAAAGACUUGUAUAAGGCUUUAGGUCCUUAAUUCCGUUCAAGAAAACAUGACAAUGCCCUUGCAACGGCUGGCAAUAUAUAAUCCAUAAUCUAGUACCUAAUCUUGGUUAGCUUGUCAGUCUGACUUGGCAUGCGCCAAGGAUGGAGCUUUAGCUUGUUGCUUUGGAAUUGAUUCAGUUUCCAGAAAGCUUUGU
This 345-nucleotide long non-coding RNA is filed under the name Setaria viridis. Its description in RNAcentral is "long non-coding RNA (SVIR_LNC009093)". The record is from RNAcentral. Lineage: Eukaryota; Viridiplantae; Streptophyta; Magnoliopsida; Poales; Poaceae.